AUGGGUGCCGUCAUUGCUAAACGGCUAAGCCUGAAUCGUACACAAGGCCCCAUAUUUGGAGGUAUCUAUGCUUCACGUCUUGCUAGACAUUUUGAGAUACCUAUUAGGCACCAUGAGAAAGAGGAGACAAAAUUGCCUCCUUACAUUUUAUAUUACAAGAGCAUGGUAGCACAUGCGUUUAUUGUUGACAACAAAGAGAAGAUGCUCUUGUAUAACCUUAGAUUUAAUAAGAAACACAAUGAGACUAUUGUUUUGCCUGCACCUCUAUUGUUUGAUUUGAUUGCAGAUAAUUUUCUUGUUACACCAGAAGCGGUGUACUCUCAUCGAGACCAAGCAUCCACUCCAGAACCUGAACCUGAGCCGAAACCUGAACUGGACCCUUAUCGUGCAUCAUCCUACCAGUGGGACCCGGAGAUGGCCAGCCAGUGGUAUCCUGAUUACACCUCCCAGUACACCGGGGAGAGUAGCAGUGGUCCUUGGCAAUAA
RNAcentral lists this ribosomal RNA (486 nucleotides) under Triticum aestivum (bread wheat). RNAcentral's name for it is "partial small subunit ribosomal RNA". Lineage: Eukaryota; Viridiplantae; Streptophyta; Magnoliopsida; Poales; Poaceae. The record is from RNAcentral.